AUGAAGUAGAUGUUCAGUUGCUCCCCAGAGGCUGAGCAGAGUCCUAUGGCUCUUGUGCCUCUGAGUUAGGGAAAGCACAGGUAGAGGACUACCUGGCAGUCAUAGAUUUUAGAAGAAGAAGGUCUAGAGCAUUACACAUUGUUUCCAACUAUCUGGAACCCAAAGAAGCCUAAUACGUUAAAAGAACUCUAAGUGAUAACAGAAAGUCAAUUGUAGCGUCAGGACCUCAAUGAAGAAGACUCUCUGGUUAUUAUCAGGUUCACACACCACAGUAUCUCAUUGUUUGGCGACUGUUAUUAGGCUGUCCUUAAGAGCAAACUUGAGUGGAGUUUACCUUGUAAACUUACAUUGGAAAUUUACAUUACUGAAGGAACCCACUAGAAAGAAGACCUCACUAAGAAGCAGAAAUGGAGACUCCAUGGCAGCAGCAAUGGAGACCCCAACUUAACAGAAAUUUAGAAACAAUGGGUCUUUCAAGCUAA
This 482-nucleotide long non-coding RNA is filed under the name Homo sapiens (human). Its description in RNAcentral is "non-protein coding lnc-AZI2-3:1". Lineage: Eukaryota; Metazoa; Chordata; Mammalia; Primates; Hominidae. The record is from RNAcentral.